Molecule: transfer RNA, 72 nt
Filed under: Potamotrygon orbignyi (smooth-back river stingray)
Lineage: Eukaryota; Metazoa; Chordata; Chondrichthyes; Myliobatiformes; Potamotrygonidae
Description: tRNA-Gln
Rfam family: tRNA
About the family: Transfer RNA (tRNA) molecules are approximately 80 nucleotides in length. Their secondary structure includes four short double-helical elements and three loops (D, anti-codon, and T loops). Further hydrogen bonds mediate the characteristic L-shaped molecular structure. tRNAs have two regions of fundamental functional importance: the anti-codon, which is responsible for specific mRNA codon recognition, and the 3' end, to which the tRNAs corresponding amino acid is attached (by aminoacyl-tRNA synthetases). tRNAs cope with the degeneracy of the genetic code in two manners: having more than one tRNA (with a specific anti-codon) for a particular amino acid; and 'wobble' base-pairing, i.e. permitting non-standard base-pairing at the 3rd anti-codon position.
Source: RNAcentral
UAGGGAGUAGUAUAAGUGGAAGUACUGAGAGUUUUGAUCUCUUAGGUGUAGGUUCGAGUCCUAUUUUUCUAG